This 75-nucleotide transfer RNA is filed under the name Bacillota bacterium. RNAcentral's name for it is "tRNA-Arg". It matches the Rfam family "tRNA". Rfam says of the family: Transfer RNA (tRNA) molecules are approximately 80 nucleotides in length. Their secondary structure includes four short double-helical elements and three loops (D, anti-codon, and T loops). Lineage: Bacteria; Bacillati; Bacillota. The record is from RNAcentral.
GUUCCCAUAGUUAAACGGAUAUAACAUUCCCCUCCUAAGGGAAAAUUAGGGGUUCGAUUCCCUUUGGGAACGCCA